CUCCUACGGGAGCAGCAGUGGGGAAUAUUGCACAAUGGGCGCAAGCCUGAUGCAGCCAUGCCGCGUGUAUGAAGAAGGCCUUCGGGUUGUAAAGUACUUUCAGCAGUGAGGAAGGUGGGUAUGUUAAUAGCAUACUCAUUUGACGUUAGCUGCAGAAGAAGCACCGGCUAACUCCGUGCCAGCAGCCGCGGUAAUACGGAGGGUGCGAGCGUUAAUCGGAAUUACUGGGCGUAAAGCGCAUGCAGGUGGUUUGUUAAGUCAGAUGUGAAAGCCCGGGGCUCAACCUCGGAAUUGCAUUUGAAACUGGCAAACUAGAGUACUGUAGAGGGGGUAGAAUUUCAGGUGUAGCGGUGAAAUGCGUAGAGAUCUGAAGGAAUACCGGUGGCGAAGGCGGCCCCCUGGACAGAUACUGACACUCAGAUGCGAAAGCGUGGGGAGCAAACAGGAUUAGAUACCCUGGUAG
This 463-nucleotide ribosomal RNA is filed under the name uncultured bacterium. RNAcentral describes it as "bacterial SSU rRNA". It matches the Rfam family "Bacterial small subunit ribosomal RNA", at positions 336 to 793 of the family's 1533-position model. The record is from RNAcentral.